Molecule: ribosomal RNA, 1085 nt
Filed under: Pseudarthrobacter polychromogenes
Lineage: Bacteria; Bacillati; Actinomycetota; Actinomycetes; Micrococcales; Micrococcaceae
Description: bacterial SSU rRNA
Rfam family: Bacterial small subunit ribosomal RNA
Source: RNAcentral
CGAUGAUCUCCGCUUGCUGGGGGGAUUAGUGGCGAACGGGUGAGUAACACGUGAGUAACCUGCCCUUGACUCUGGGAUAAGCCUGGGAAACUGGGUCUAAUACCGGAUAUGACUCCUCAUCGCAUGGUGGGGGGUGGAAAGCUUUUUGUGGUUUUGGAUGGACUCGCGGCCUAUCAGCUUGUUGGUGAGGUAAUGGCUCACCAAGGCGACGACGGGUAGCCGGCCUGAGAGGGUGACCGGCCACACUGGGACUGAGACACGGCCCAGACUCCUACGGGAGGCAGCAGUGGGGAAUAUUGCACAAUGGGCGCAAGCCUGAUGCAGCGACGCCGCGUGAGGGAUGACGGCCUUCGGGUUGUAAACCUCUUUCAGUAGGGAAGAAGCGAAAGUGACGGUACCUGCAGAAGAAGCGCCGGCUAACUACGUGCCAGCAGCCGCGGUAAUACGUAGGGCGCAAGCGUUAUCCGGAAUUAUUGGGCGUAAAGAGCUCGUAGGCGGUUUGUCGCGUCUGCCGUGAAAGUCCGGGGCUCAACUCCGGAUCUGCGGUGGGUACGGGCAGACUAGAGUGAUGUAGGGGAGACUGGAAUUCCUGGUGUAGCGGUGAAAUGCGCAGAUAUCAGGAGGAACACCGAUGGCGAAGGCAGGUCUCUGGGCAUUAACUGACGCUGAGGAGCGAAAGCAUGGGGAGCGAACAGGAUUAGAUACCCUGGUAGUCCAUGCCGUAAACGUUGGGCACUAGGUGUGGGGGACAUUCCACGUUUUCCGCGCCGUAGCUAACGCAUUAAGUGCCCCGCCUGGGGAGUACGGCCGCAAGGCUAAAACUCAAAGGAAUUGACGGGGGCCCGCACAAGCGGCGGAGCAUGCGGAUUAAUUCGAUGCAACGCGAAGAACCUUACCAAGGCUUGACAUGAACCGGAAAGACCUGGAAACAGGUGCCCCGCUUGCGGUCGGUUUACAGGUGGUGCAUGGUUGUCGUCAGCUCGUGUCGUGAGAUGUUGGGUUAAGUCCCGCAACGAGCGCAACCCUCGUUCUAUGUUGCCAGCACGUGAUGGUGGGGACUCAUAGGAGACUGCCGGGGUCAACUC